This 547-nucleotide ribosomal RNA is filed under the name uncultured Glomeromycotina. Its description in RNAcentral is "SSU rRNA". It matches the Rfam family "Eukaryotic small subunit ribosomal RNA", at positions 548 to 1098 of the family's 1831-position model. Lineage: Eukaryota; Fungi; Glomeromycota. The record is from RNAcentral.
UUGGAGGGCAAGUCUGGUGCCAGCAGCCGCGGUAAUUCCAGCUCCAAUAGCGUAUAUUAAAGUUGCUGCAGUUAAAAAGCUCGUAGUUGAAUUUCGGGACUAUCAUGUCGGUCGUGCCUCGGUACGUACUGGUAUUGUUGGUUUCUCCCUUCUGACGAACCAUGAUGUCAUUUAUUUGGUGUUGUGGGGAAUCAGGACUGUUACUUUGAAAAAAUUAGAGUGUUUAAAGCAGGCUCACGCUUGAAUACAUUAGCAUGGAAUAAUGAAAUAGGACGUUUGAUUCUAUUUUGUUGGUUUCUAGGAUCGACGUAAUGAUUAAUAGGGAUAGUUGGGGGCAUUAGUAUUCAAUUGUCAGAGGUGAAAUUCUUGGAUUUAUUGAAGACUAACUACUGCGAAAGCAUUUGCCAAGGAUGUUUUCAUUAAUCAAGAACGAAAGUUAGGGGAUCGAAGACGAUCAGAUACCGUCGUAGUCUUAACCAUAAACUAUGCCGACUAGGGAUCGGAUGAUGUUAAUUUUUAAUGACUCAUUCGGCGCCUUACGGGAAAC